GGAGUUGGCUGAACAGUCGCGCCAUUGGGCACCUCGGUUCUCUUUGAGCGAACCGUUGAGUGCUGAUGGGGAGGAAAGUCCGGGCUCCAUAGGGCAGGGUGCCAGGUAACACCUGGGGGGCGUGAGCCUACGGAAAGUGCCACAGAAAAUACACCGCCUAAGUGUUUGGGUUCGCCUGAAUGCCGGUAAGGGUGAAAAGGUGCGGUAAGAGCGCACCGCGCCGGUGGCAACAUCGGUGGCAGGGUAAACCCCACUCGGAGCAAGACCAAAUAGGGGAACAAUAGGCGUGGUCCGCGCCGUUCCCGGGUAGGUCGCUUGAGAUAUACGGUGACGUGUAUCCAGAUGAAUGGCUGUUCUUGACAGAACCCGGCUUACAGGCCGACUCCCUCU
RNAcentral lists this RNase P RNA (390 nucleotides) under Gammaproteobacteria bacterium. Its description in RNAcentral is "RNase P RNA component class A". It matches the Rfam family "Bacterial RNase P class A". From Rfam's summary of the family: Ribonuclease P (RNase P) is a ubiquitous endoribonuclease, found in archaea, bacteria and eukarya as well as chloroplasts and mitochondria. Its best characterised activity is the generation of mature 5'-ends of tRNAs by cleaving the 5'-leader elements of precursor-tRNAs. Cellular RNase Ps are ribonucleoproteins. Lineage: Bacteria; Pseudomonadati; Pseudomonadota; Gammaproteobacteria. The record is from RNAcentral.